This 576-nucleotide non-coding RNA is filed under the name Trichomonas vaginalis G3. RNAcentral describes it as "Eukaryotic small subunit ribosomal RNA". It matches the Rfam family "Eukaryotic small subunit ribosomal RNA", at positions 1210 to 1831 of the family's 1831-position model. Lineage: Eukaryota; Parabasalia; Trichomonadida; Trichomonadidae. The record is from Rfam by way of RNAcentral.
AAACUUACCCAGGACCCAGAUGUUUUUUUAUGACUGACCAGGGCUUCGGUUCUUUCAGGAUAUUGUUUUUGGUGGUGCAUGGCCGUUGGUGGUGCGUGGGUUGACCUGUCUAGCGUUGAUUCAGCUAACGAGCGAGAUUAUCGCCAAUUAUUUAUUUUGCCGAAGUCCUUCGGUUAAAGUUCUAAUUGGGACUCCCUGCGAUUUUAGCAGGUGGAAGAGGGUAGCAAUAACAGGUCCGUGAUGCCCUUUAGAUGCUCUGGGCUGCACGCGUGCUACAAUGUUAGGAUCAAUAGGACUGCGAGCCUGAGAGGGUGCGCUACUCUUAUAAUCCCUAACGUAGUUGGGAUUGACGUUUGUAAUCAGCGUCAUGAACCAGGAAUCCCUUGUAAAUGUGUGUCAACAACGCACGUUGAAUACGUCCCUGCCCUUUGUACACACCGCCCGUCGCUCCUACCGAUUGGAUGACUCGGUGAAAUCACCGGAUGCUUACGAGCAGAAAGUGAUUAAAUCACGUUAUCUAGAGGAAGGAGAAGUCGUAACAAGGUAACGGUAGGUGAACCUGCCGUUGGAUCAGUU